Molecule: long non-coding RNA, 1281 nt
Organism: Labeo rohita (rohu)
Lineage: Eukaryota; Metazoa; Chordata; Actinopteri; Cypriniformes; Cyprinidae
Exons: 3
Source: RefSeq, a predicted model, not a curated record
AGAAGUCAGAAAAAGCUUUAUUAGCAAGUAUGUUUACACACACAAGGAAUUUGACAGGAGCUUCCAGUGCAGAAAAAAAGUACGGACAUAGUGCAAACAUACAUAAUAGUACAGACAUACACAGGAAAUACACAAUACAGAUGGAAUAUAACACUAAUAUAAGAAAAACACAUAAGAAUAUUAAAAAAAAAACAUUUACCAUAUACAAACAAAUCAAGCAAUCAUUAAAAUAUUAUAGUAGUUCCCUUUAUGCGUAGUCAGUCAUGCCUAACUCUAACCAGGUCACGGCAUGCAGGCAGAAUUUCAAUCAUUCAUUCAUUACAAAGGAAAACCUAAAAUCCAGUAGUGAUUUUGGUGGUGGAACAAACUGUUCCCCCUCAGAAUAAUUCUCAGACAGCUUGUCUAUAUCCUUAAUAAAGUCAGAAUAAAGUCUGCUUUUGGGUUCAUUUUUUAAAUAACACCUCAGCUCAAAGUAUCUGCUGUUGGUUGAUUCCAGUACAUACACUGUUAGACAUUUCUGUAUUUUCUACAGUUAUUAACUGUAUAUCAUCCAGUAUAAUACUGCAAAUCCCCUUUGUAGUAAAUAACUGUCUCUGUCCACAUAUAGAGACUUACUGUAUUUUUUAAAUAUGCUGUAUACUACUGCAUUAGCUGUAACGACCUCUUUGGCGGCAUUCUAUUGGGGUUGCUUCAUUUUCCUCAUUCAUUAAAUCUGGAUUGUCACUACACCGAUCUGAUUUGCUCUACACCUUGUCUACAACACCUUAGGUUGGACUACACUGGAUGUGUUGCAUCGCUUGUAAUGAUUGGAAAAUGUUUGUCCUUCAUGUCAGACAUGUCAGACACAGCACGAGCACUUGGAGUACAUCUGUAUGUCAGAAAUAUACUGGGGCAUCACUUUACUGUCCGCAUCCACUGUAGAUAGUAUAAUGGGUUCUAUAUUGUCUUUUGCCGAGUCGCGCUGCGCCGUGCCACUCGUGUUCGAGGAAGACAAGGAAGCAGUGGGGCAGUGCCGGGAGUUUUGCCCUGGGGAUGAACCCGUGAGAGUGAAAGAGUUCCAGAGAACAUCUACGCUGUGCGGCUAUGCACCUUAUGAGACAAUAAGACCAGCAAGUAAGGCAACUGCAGUGAAGCUUCAAGAAAGACAUGAGCAUGCCAACCACCCUGAGACUGAUUCAUGAUUUACAGUUCAUAAGAAGACAUUUCUGCCACUAACAAUGUGGGUGGUGAGCAAAGGUGGUGGCCAUGUUUUUGGAGCAGCACCUGGGUUUUGCAGAUGGC